GGGUCAGUAGGUUGGUCGUGCCACCGGUACGUACUGGUCUCACUGAUUCCUCCUUCCUGAAGAACCGUAAUGCCAUUAAUUUGGUGUUGCGGGGAAACAGGACUGUUACUUUGAAAAAAUUAGAGUGUUUAAAGCAAGCUAAUGCUUGAAUACAUUAGCAUGGAAUAAUGAAAUAGGACGAUCCAUCCUAUUUUGUUGGUCUCUAGGAUUGACGUA
This 216-nucleotide ribosomal RNA is filed under the name Glomeromycotina sp. RNAcentral describes it as "partial small subunit ribosomal RNA". The stretch from base 40 to 216 matches the Rfam family "Eukaryotic small subunit ribosomal RNA", at positions 686 to 864 of the family's 1831-position model. The record is from RNAcentral. Lineage: Eukaryota; Fungi; Glomeromycota.